RNAcentral lists this ribosomal RNA (592 nucleotides) under bacterium 2a100109. Its description in RNAcentral is "bacterial SSU rRNA". It matches the Rfam family "Bacterial small subunit ribosomal RNA", at positions 314 to 916 of the family's 1533-position model. The record is from RNAcentral.
UGGGACUGAGACACGGCCCAGACUCCUACGGGAGGCAGCAGUGGGGAAUAUUGCACAAUGGGCGCAAGCCUGAUGCAGCGACGCCGCGUGAGGGAUGACGGCCUUCGGGUUGUAAACCUCUUUCGCCAGGGACGAAGCGCAAGUGACGGUACCUGGAUAAGAAGCACCGGCUAACUACGUGCCAGCAGCCGCGGUAAUACGUAGGGUGCGAGCGUUGUCCGGAAUUAUUGGGCGUAAAGAGCUCGUAGGCGGUUUGUCGCGUCGGCCGUGAAAUCUCCACGCUUAACGUGGAGCGUGCGGUCGAUACGGGCAGACUUGAGUUCGGCAGGGGAGACUGGAAUUCCUGGUGUAGCGGUGAAAUGCGCAGAUAUCAGGAGGAACACCGGUGGCGAAGGCGGGUCUCUGGGCCGAUACUGACGCUGAGGAGCGAAAGCGUGGGGAGCGAACAGGAUUAGAUACCCUGGUAGUCCACGCUGUAAACGUUGGGCGCUAGGUGUGGGCGACAUUCCACGUUGUCCGUGCCGUAGCUAACGCAUUAAGCGCCCCGCCUGGGGAGUACGGCCGCAAGGCUAAAACUCAAAGGAAUUGACGG